This 257-nucleotide ribosomal RNA is filed under the name uncultured bacterium. Its description in RNAcentral is "partial 16S ribosomal RNA". It matches the Rfam family "Bacterial small subunit ribosomal RNA", at positions 96 to 354 of the family's 1533-position model. The record is from RNAcentral.
CGGCGGACGGGUGAGUAACGCGUGGGCAACCUGCCUUACACAGGGGGAUAACAGUUAGAAAUGACUGCUAAUACCGCAUAAGACCACAAAACCGCAUGGUUUAGUGGUAAAACUCCGGUGGUGUAAGAUGGGCCCGCGUCUGAUUAGGUAGUUGGUGGGGUAACGGCCUACCAAGCCGACGAUCAGUAGCCGACCUGAGAGGGUGACCGGCCACAUUGGGACUGAGACACGGCCCAGACUCCUACGGGAGGCAGCAG